GGGACACGUGGUAUCCUGUCUGAAUAUGGGGGGACCAUCCUCCAAGGCUAAAUACUCCUGACUGACCGAUAGUGAACCAGUACCGUGAGGGAAAGGCGAAAAGAACCCCGGCGAGGGGAGUGAAAAAGAACCUGAAACCGUGUACGUACAAGCAGUGGGAGCACGCUUAGGCGUGUGACUGCGUACCUUUUGUAUAAUGGGUCAGCGACUUAUAUUCUGUAGCAAGGUUAACCGAAUAGGGGAGCCGAAGGGAAACCGAGUCUUAACUGGGCGUUAAGUUGCAGGGUAUAGACCCGAAACCCGGUGAUCUAGCCAUGGGCAGGUUGAAGGUUGGGUAACACUAACUGGAGGACCGAACCGACUAAUGUUGAAAAAUUAGCGGAUGACUUGUGGCUGGGGGUGAAAGGCCAAUCAAACCGGGAGAUAGCUGGUUCUCCCCGAAAGCUAUUUAGGUAGCGCCUCGUGAAUUCAUCUCCGGGGGUAGAGCACUGUUUCGGCAAGGGGGUCAUCCCGACUUACCAACCCGAUGCAAACUGCGAAUACCGGAGAAUGUUAUCACGGGAGACACACGGCGGGUGCUAACGUCCGUCGUGAAGAGGGAAACAACCCAGACCGCCAGCUAAGGUCCCAAAGUCAUGGUUAAGUGGGAAACGAUGUGGGAAGGCCCAGACAGCCAGGAUGUUGGCUUAGAAGCAGCCAUCAUUUAAAGAAAGCGUAAUAGCUCACUGGUCGAGUCGGCCUGCGCGGAAGAUGUAACGGGGCUAAACCAUGCACCGAAGCUGCGGCAGCGACGCUUAUGCGUUGUUGGGUAGGGGAGCGUUCUGUAAGCCUGUGAAGGUGUACUGUGAGGUAUGCUGGAGGUAUCAGAAGUGCGAAUGCUGACAUAAGUAACGAUAAAGCGGGUGAAAAGCCCGCUCGCCGGAAGACCAAGGGUUCCUGUCCAACGUUAAUCGGGGCAGGGUGAGUCGACCCCUAAGGCGAGGCCGAAAGGCGUAGUCGAUGGGAAACAGGUUAAUAUUCCUGUACUUGGUGUUACUGCGAAGGGGGGACGGAGAAGGCUAUGUUGGCCGGGCGACGGUUGUCCCGGUUUAAGCGUGUAGGCUGGUUUUCCAGGCAAAUCCGGAAAAUCAAGGCUGAGGCGUGAUGACGAGGCACUACGGUGCUGAAGCAACAAAUGCCCUGCUUCCAGGAAAAGCCUCUAAGCAUCAGGUAACAUCAAAUCGUACCCCAAACCGACACAGGUGGUCAGGUAGAGAAUACCAAGGCGCUUGAGAGAACUCGGGUGAAGGAACUAGGCAAAAUGGUGCCGUAACUUCGGGAGAAGGCACGCUGAUAUGUAGGUGAAGUCCCUCGCGGAUGGAGCUGAAAUCAGUCGAAGAUACCAGCUGGCUGCAACUGUUUAUUAAAAACACAGCACUGUGCAAACACGAAAGUGGACGUAUACGGUGUGACGCCUGCCCGGUGCCGGAAGGUUAAUUGAUGGGGUCAGCGCAAGCGAAGCUCUUGAUCGAAGCCCCGGUAAACGGCGGCCGUAACUAUAACGGUCCUAAGGUAGCGAAAUUCCUUGUCGGGUAAGUUCCGACCUGCACGAAUGGCGUAAUGAUGGCCAGGCUGUCUCCACCCGAGACUCAGUGAAAUUGAACUCGCUGUGAAGAUGCAGUGUACCCGCGGCAAGACGGAAAGACCCCGUGAACCUUUACUAUAGCUUGACACUGAACAUUGAGCCUUGAUGUGUAGGAUAGGUGGGAGGCUUUGAAGUGUGGACGCCAGUCUGCAUGGAGCCGACCUUGAAAUACCACCCUUUAAUGUUUGAUGUUCUAACGUUGACCCGU
RNAcentral lists this ribosomal RNA (1832 nucleotides) under Escherichia coli. RNAcentral describes it as "partial 23S ribosomal RNA". It matches the Rfam family "Bacterial large subunit ribosomal RNA", at positions 419 to 2236 of the family's 2925-position model. The record is from RNAcentral. Lineage: Bacteria; Pseudomonadati; Pseudomonadota; Gammaproteobacteria; Enterobacterales; Enterobacteriaceae.